CCUUCGAUAGCUCAGUUGGUAGAGCGGUGGACUGUAGAGGUUAUGUACACAAGAGAAAUCCAUAGGUCGCUGGUUCGAAUCCGGCUCGAAGGA
Molecule: transfer RNA, 93 nt
Filed under: Habropoda laboriosa
Lineage: Eukaryota; Metazoa; Arthropoda; Insecta; Hymenoptera; Apidae
Rfam family: tRNA
About the family: Transfer RNA (tRNA) molecules are approximately 80 nucleotides in length. Their secondary structure includes four short double-helical elements and three loops (D, anti-codon, and T loops). Further hydrogen bonds mediate the characteristic L-shaped molecular structure. tRNAs have two regions of fundamental functional importance: the anti-codon, which is responsible for specific mRNA codon recognition, and the 3' end, to which the tRNAs corresponding amino acid is attached (by aminoacyl-tRNA synthetases). tRNAs cope with the degeneracy of the genetic code in two manners: having more than one tRNA (with a specific anti-codon) for a particular amino acid; and 'wobble' base-pairing, i.e. permitting non-standard base-pairing at the 3rd anti-codon position.
Source: Rfam by way of RNAcentral